RNAcentral lists this ribosomal RNA (460 nucleotides) under uncultured bacterium. RNAcentral describes it as "bacterial SSU rRNA". It matches the Rfam family "Bacterial small subunit ribosomal RNA", at positions 340 to 786 of the family's 1533-position model. The record is from RNAcentral.
UACGGGAGGCAGCAGUGGGGAAUAUUGCACAAUGGGCGAAAGCCUGAUGCAGCUAUGCCGCGUGUAUGAAGAAGGCCUUAGGGUUGUAAAGUACUUUCAUCGGGGAGGAAAAAACAAAACUAAUAAUUUUAUUUCUUGACGUUACCCGAAAAAGAAGCACCGGCUAACUCCGUGCCAGCAGCCGCGGUAAUACGGAGGGUGCUAGCGUUAAUCAGAAUUACUGGGCGUAAAGAGCACGUAGGUGGUUUUUUUAAAGUUCAGAUGUGAAAUCCCUGGGCUUAACCCUAGGAACUGCAUUUUGAAACUGAAAUACUAGAGUAUCGUAGAGGGAGGUAGAAUUCUAGGUGUAGCGGUGAAAUGCGUAGAUAUCUGGAGGAAUACCUGUGGCGAAAGCGGCCUCCUAAACGAAUACUGACACUGAGGUGCGAAAGGCGUGGGGAGCAAACAGGGAUUAGAUACC